Zophobas morio is the source of this 676-nucleotide long non-coding RNA. RefSeq lists it as uncharacterized. NCBI's taxonomy places the organism in Eukaryota, Metazoa, Arthropoda, Insecta, Coleoptera, Tenebrionidae. The transcript is spliced from 3 exons. The record is from RefSeq and is a predicted model, not a curated record.
UCUUUUAUUAUUGUGUGAUAAGGUCCGGACAAAGAGUACGUACAUGUUGCAUCCCAAAUUGCGAAGACACGACGUCUCGUAGACAUCGCUUUCCAAGCAAUAAGGAUUGUUAGAUAUUUGGAUUGCAAGAAUAAACAACCCAAAACAUGCUUCACUGACUUCUAGACAAACAGCAGUUAGCCAGUUUAUAUGCGAGUCACAUUUUGCAGAAAUCAAUAUAAACAGACAAUCAACAAAAAGAAUUUUAAAUGGAUCUAUUCCGACAUUGAAUAUUCCAGGAUUUCAUGAGGAUCCAACGAGUGAAAACUGUUUUUAUUUUCCUGCAAAAUCAACAGAAGUGACUACAGAAGCAGUUCCAAGCCCUAUAUCUGCAGAAACGGAAAUGUUAGCUGUACCAGGAACAUCAAAAGAUAUAAGCCCUGAAGUGAAAUUAUUAAGGACGACUCCCUCAAAAAAAAAGUUUAUGGGAAAACUGCAAGAAGGUAGUUAAUAGCAACAUCGGUAUCUCAUUUAGCAGGUAAUUUUAUGCUUCUGAAAAUAUUUAUCGUAAAAUUACGAGUAACCACUUUGAAAUUACUUGUGUAUUUAACUAAAUACUUAUAUGUAUAUGAUUGUUAAAUGGGAGCCUAUCUAAAAUUUCUCAAAAGCUAGAAAAAAUAGUUGUAAUUAGACUUAA